This 399-nucleotide transfer RNA is filed under the name uncultured Microcystis sp. RNAcentral describes it as "partial contains 16S-23S ribosomal RNA intergenic spacer, and 23S ribosomal RNA". The stretch from base 133 to 206 matches the Rfam family "tRNA". Lineage: Bacteria; Bacillati; Cyanobacteriota; Cyanophyceae; Chroococcales; Microcystaceae. The record is from RNAcentral.
AAGGGAGACCUAAUUCAGGUAUGGGACGAAAAAAAAGUAGUCGCUACCAAGAAUCAAUCCCAAAAGGUCGGAGCGAGGUAUGAGGCUUUCAAACUAGGUUCUGGGUUCAAACAAGACCUGAAUCAGGAACAAGGGCUAUUAGCUCAGGUGGUUAGAGCGCACCCCUGAUAAGGGUGAGGUCCCUGGUUCGAGUCCAGGAUGGCCCACCUGCACAGGUGGCAAAAACAAGAGAAGCGAGGAAUCAGCACCUUAUCUUAUCUAUAUAUAUAUAGGAGAGAAUGCUGGCUCUGAGUAAAGAGUCCAGAGGAACCUUGAAAACUGCAUAGAGCUAGGUGAAAAAGCCAAAAAAGAAGACCGCAAGGUCAAGCCAAUAAGGGCUAACGGUGGAUACCUAGGCAC